GUGACAGCAGCCGCGGUAAUACGUAGGAGGCAAGCGUUAUCCGGAUUUAUUGGGCGUAAAGCGCACGCAGGCGGUUACGUAAGUCGGACGUGAAAGCUCCCGGCCCAACCGGGAGAGGUCGUUCGAUACUGCGUGACUUGAGGUUGGGAGAGGGGAGUGGAAUUCCCGGUGUAGUGGUGGAAUGCGUAGAUAUCGGGAGGAACACCAAUGGCGAAAGCGACUCCCUGGCCCACACCUGACGCUCAGGUGCGAAAGCGUGGGUAGCGAACGGGAUUAGAUACCCCAGUAGUCC
RNAcentral lists this ribosomal RNA (292 nucleotides) under uncultured bacterium. RNAcentral describes it as "partial 16S ribosomal RNA". It matches the Rfam family "Bacterial small subunit ribosomal RNA", at positions 505 to 796 of the family's 1533-position model. The record is from RNAcentral.